This is a long non-coding RNA of Astatotilapia calliptera (eastern happy), 1321 nucleotides long. The record is from Ensembl. NCBI's taxonomy places the organism in Eukaryota, Metazoa, Chordata, Actinopteri, Cichliformes, Cichlidae.
GUUACACAGAAGGAGGAGUUGGAAAAAAACUGAAAAUGUUUUAAAUGUAAAUUAGAAAACCCUAAGAAAUGAGAAAAGAACAUUUAGAGUCAGAAAACAUCUGAAUGAAUAUCAAAAGGUCAUAUUCUUUGAAUCACUGAAUGACUCAAAUGUGAUCCCUCCACUUUGAUCCACACAGUUUAAAAAGUUUUAAUGCCUGAGCUUUGAAAGACACGGUGUUGGAAAGAGAACAAUAAUGGCGACAAUUUGAGGGUAAAAUGAUGGCUGUAACACUGUGGACACAGCAGCAGUUGAAAGAGAAGUGCUUAAGAUGAAUCUUGGCACAGUGGCAGGCAGAGCUCGUUAAGCAGGCAGGUGUGAGCCUGGUUGCUAUAGUGACCGCACCCAGUGGCUCCAUACACACGUACACAGACAUGCGCCUCACUUUUGCUGCUUAAAAUGAACAGAAAAGUCAGGGCGAAACAAAUCGUUCCCAAAUGAAAAGUAAAAGUCGUAUUGACAAAAUUCUUUCACUGUGAGCGACAGCAAUGUCUAGUCUACCAAAUUCUCAGUUUUCAUGUCUGUGGAGUUUAUUAUAUGGACGUGGUGACAGUGGAAAGACACCAUGCUCUUCUGAUUUUCAAACGAACCUUCUGAGCCAUUUUAACAUUAGAGUCUAUGGAAGAGUUGGAGGGAGGAGGCUGUGCAUUGGUGACAUUUAUGAAAGAACCAUAACACCUAGUACAAUAGUAAACACAUUGGAUGAAAGAGGACAGCGAUGGCUACGUUUUGAGGGUAAAAUCAUACCUGUAGAGCAAACGCUGCAGACACAGCAGCAGUUUUAAAAAAGAUUUUAAGAUUAAUUUUUUUGCUCCUCUCACUCUAGCAGUUGAGCUGUCUCACUCUAGCCCCAACAUUCCGUCCCAUACACACCCAUUAUAAAUUUUGAAAUGGGUGAAAAAACAUCAUGAAACUUAAACUGGAACUGAAGAAAAAGUAUAAUAGAUAUUGAAAAGAUAAAUACAAGUUGAAUAGUUGAAUGUCUUGUCUUCGUUUUAAAGUUUGAAUGGUGGCUCUAUGUCAAUGUAUGUGGAAGUAGUAAGAGUUUAAAAAUGAGUAAGUUGAAUGAGAAUUUGAAGGGUCUCCCCAUUGAAAUACAUUAUAAAUUUUUGUUGAAUAAAGUUGAAUAAAAUUAAAAAUAUAAAUGUUAAAAAUGAGAAAAAUAGAAGCAGUCAUGUCCAAAAUAAUAGGAAUCUAACGAUGUUUGAAUGGUUUUUCUAAGUUGAACGGUUUUGAAGGAGUUAGAUGCCAAAAAACGUACGGAAUAUGGAAUAAUAACUAG